UUUAUCCACCUAUUUGUGUUGCCUUUUAUUCCGUAAGUAUGUAGUUUGUUUACUAGUAAGCUGUGGUUGACCUUAUCAAAGGCCUUAGCAAAGUCCAUUAUCAGCACAUCUGUUUGUUGUCCCAUGUUCAUGUUAUUAGCUAGGUCGUCAAUAAAUUCGAUGAGCUGAGUUUCACAGGACCUGCCUUUCCUGAAACCAUGUUGUA
Molecule: long non-coding RNA, 205 nt
Filed under: Mytilus galloprovincialis (Mediterranean mussel)
Lineage: Eukaryota; Metazoa; Mollusca; Bivalvia; Mytilida; Mytilidae
Source: RNAcentral